AGUGAACGCUGGCGGCAUGCCUAACACAUGCAAGUCGAACGGAAGCACGGGUGCUUGCAGCGGGUGGCGGGGGGCGAAGGGGGGAGGAAUACAUCGGAACAGGAUCACUAAUGGAGGAUAGUGCUAAUAAAGAAGGAGCACUACCGCGGACGAAUCUAUGGCGAAUGGAGGGGCCCUCGUGGGAUUGGGCUGUAGGGUAGGUCAAUGGCUGAUUAGCUGGUGGUUGGUGUCAAGGCCUAACAGGACGACGACCAGUAGCGGGUCUGAGAGGAGGACCAGCCACCCUGGGACUGAGACACGGCCCAGACUCCUACGGGAGGCCGCAGUCGGGAAUUUUGGGCGAUGGGCGAAAGCCUGAUCCAGCACUGCCGCGUGUGGGAUGACGGACCUCGGGUUGUAAAGCACUUUUGUUCGGAAAGAAAUAAUUGACUUUCAUCCAGGCCGGUGAUGACGGUACCCGAAGAAUAAGCCCCGGCUAACUACGUG
RNAcentral lists this ribosomal RNA (486 nucleotides) under uncultured bacterium. RNAcentral's name for it is "partial 16S ribosomal RNA". It matches the Rfam family "Bacterial small subunit ribosomal RNA", at positions 30 to 507 of the family's 1533-position model. The record is from RNAcentral.